Molecule: ribosomal RNA, 468 nt
Filed under: uncultured bacterium
Lineage: Bacteria
Description: partial 16S ribosomal RNA
Rfam family: Bacterial small subunit ribosomal RNA
Source: RNAcentral
GACGAACGCUGGCGGCGUGCUUAACACAUGCAAGUCGAACGGAAAGGCCCUGCGUUUGUGGGGUGCUCGAGUGGCGAACGGGUGAGUAACACGUGAGUAACCUGCCCUUGACUUUGUGAUAACUUCAGGAAACUGGGUCUAAUACCGGAUAGGAGCUCCUGCUGCAUGUUGGGGGUUGGAGAGUUUCGGCGGUUGGGGAUGGACUCGCGGCUUAUCAGCUGGUUGGUGGGGUAGUUGCUUACCAAGGCUUUGACGGGUAGCCGGCCUGAGAGGGUGACCGGUCACAUUGGGACUGAGAUACGGACCAGAAUCCUACGGGAGGCAGCAGUGGGGAAUAUUGCACAGUGGGCGGAAGCCUGAUGCAGCAACGCCGCGUGCGGGAUGCCGGCCUUCGGGUUGUAAACCGCUUUCGCCUGUGACGAAGAGUGAGUGACGGUACUGGGUAAAGAAGCCACGGCUAACUACGUG